This 253-nucleotide ribosomal RNA is filed under the name uncultured bacterium. RNAcentral's name for it is "partial 16S ribosomal RNA". It matches the Rfam family "Bacterial small subunit ribosomal RNA", at positions 524 to 776 of the family's 1533-position model. The record is from RNAcentral.
UACGGGGGGGGCAAGCGUUGUUCGGAAUUACUGGGCGUAAAGGGCUCGUAGGUGGCCAACUAAGUCAGACGUGAAAUCCCUCGGCUUAACCGGGGAACUGCGUCUGAUACUGGAUGGCUUGAGUUCGGGAGAGGGAUGCGGAAUUCCAGGUGUAGCGGUGAAAUGCGUAGAUAUCUGGAGGAACACCGGUGGCGAAGGCGGGUCUCUGGGCAGUAACUGACGCUGAGGAGCGAAAGCGUGGGGAGCAAACAGG